Molecule: ribosomal RNA, 467 nt
Filed under: uncultured bacterium
Lineage: Bacteria
Description: partial 16S ribosomal RNA
Rfam family: Bacterial small subunit ribosomal RNA
Source: RNAcentral
GAUGAACGCUGGCGGCGUGCUUAACACAUGCAAGUCGAACGGAAAGGCCGAAGCUUGCUUCGGUACUCGAGUGGCGAACGGGUGAGUAACACGUGGGUGAUCUGCCCUGUACUUCGGGAUAAGCUUGGGAAACUGGGUCUAAUACCGGAUAUGACAAUCCCUUGGAUGGGGUUGUGGAAAGCUUUUGCGGUUUGGGGUGAGCUCGCGGCCUAUCAGCUUGUUGGUGGGGUAAUGGCCUACCAAGGCGUCGGCGGGUAGCCGGCCUGGGAGGGUGUACGGCGACAUUGGGACUGAGAUACGGCCCAGACUCCUACGGGAGGCAGCAGUGGGGAAUAUUGCACAAUGGGCGCAAGCCUGAUGCAGCGACGCCGCGUGGGGGAUGACGGCCUUCGGGUUGUAAACUCCUUUCGCAACCGACGAAGCUUUUUGUGACGGUAGGUUGAGAAGAAGCACCGGCUAACUACGUG